RNAcentral lists this non-coding RNA (30 nucleotides) under Mus musculus (house mouse). Lineage: Eukaryota; Metazoa; Chordata; Mammalia; Rodentia; Muridae. The record is from RNAcentral.
UUAAAGUGACUGCCGAUAAGUUUGGGAUCA